CCAUUGCUCAAUUGGUAGAGCACAAAGCUCUUAACCUUGUGGACAUGGAUUCAAGCCCCAUGAUGGG
Molecule: non-coding RNA, 67 nt
Organism: Triticum aestivum (bread wheat)
Lineage: Eukaryota; Viridiplantae; Streptophyta; Magnoliopsida; Poales; Poaceae
Source: Rfam